Molecule: long non-coding RNA, 965 nt
Organism: Erinaceus europaeus (western European hedgehog)
Lineage: Eukaryota; Metazoa; Chordata; Mammalia; Eulipotyphla; Erinaceidae
Exons: 2
Source: RefSeq, a predicted model, not a curated record
GCCUGCAGGCUCUGUUCCCAGAGGAAGAAAACACUCCCUCCUUAUUAGGUUAUGUCCACAGAGGCAGGAAAUGCCCUUUGAGGCAAGAGAUACCCCCAGAGGCAUAAAGCGCUCCCAAAGGCAAGAAGUGCCCUUUCGCCGGCUAGGCCUUGCCCUUUGAGGCAAGAAACGUUCCCCUUGGCAUCACACUGGUUAUUGCUGUUCGCCUAUUUUGUUUUCCAUGUCUUAUGCCAGUUCUUUUGAAAACGCCUGUACGAUAUAGGUUUCUGUUCACCCCUACACUGCUAUUCCCCUGACAGGGAUGAAGCCUUUUACAGACAUUGACCCAGUUGUAUAUGGCCAUAAAGUAAGAGGGAGAUGUUGGGGAAUUGUGAGGAUGUGGCUGAGCUUGGAAGGGCUUGAGCUUGAGGGGUGUGUCAAUCCUGUUAGUCUUUCUCUCUACGGAGAGGUUGAGCAAGGAGGGACAGUAUAACCCCAAAAGGUGUGCCUCUUAUCAGUCUCCCUGCCUCAUAAAGUGCCCCACACUCCCGAUACUAUGGCAAAUAGUUAAAAAUAAGGGGGAGAUGUUGGGUAGUAUGCCAGCUCCCCCUGGCUUCUGCUUAACCAAGCACCGGUAUGCCUGUAUAGGGAUUGGUUUGAUCCCAUUCAAAGCGGUCUAUUUACAUAAAUCACUUUUACAUUUACAUAAAGCACCACACUCCCUCCAGGGCAUUAAUGGUUCAGUGAUAGAAUUCUCGCCUGCUCUGCCCCCUCUCCUGUCACACCCUGAUUUUCACCAGUCACUUUUAUCUCCACCCUCUCUACAUCACGUCCUGUUUACACCCUACUUGGAAAGUAUAUAAGAACAACAUUGUUCGUUUUAGUUAGUUUGUAGUUGUUAGUUGGUAGUUGUGUUAGUUUUAGUCUAGCUCGGCUUAGAUUGUGCUGCGUCCUACAUGAAUAAAGAGAUACUGCAUACAGCUCAA